CUCGUAGGUGGCCAACUAAGUCAGACGUGAAAUCCCUCAGCUUAACUGGGGAACUGCGUCUGAUACUGGAUGGCUUGAGUUUGGGAGAGGGAUGCGGAAUUCCAGGUGUAGCGGUGAAAUGCGUAGAUAUCUGGAGGAACACCGGUGGCGAAGGCGGCAUCCUGGACCAAUACUGACACUGAGGAGCGAAAGCCAGGGGAAGCAAACG
RNAcentral lists this ribosomal RNA (208 nucleotides) under uncultured bacterium. RNAcentral describes it as "partial 16S ribosomal RNA". It matches the Rfam family "Bacterial small subunit ribosomal RNA", at positions 568 to 774 of the family's 1533-position model. The record is from RNAcentral.